AAACCAUGAUGUGGGCAUGCUCGUAACAACUUUUUAUAUCUCUCCCAAGCUUCGAACAGCGAUUCUCCUUGGUUUUGGGUAAAUCUAGUUAUAUAGUUUCGAAGAAC
Lathyrus oleraceus (garden pea) is the source of this 107-nucleotide small nucleolar RNA. NCBI's taxonomy places the organism in Eukaryota, Viridiplantae, Streptophyta, Magnoliopsida, Fabales, Fabaceae. The record is from RefSeq and is a predicted model, not a curated record.